Molecule: ribosomal RNA, 449 nt
Filed under: uncultured bacterium
Lineage: Bacteria
Description: partial 16S ribosomal RNA
Rfam family: Bacterial small subunit ribosomal RNA
Source: RNAcentral
AACGAACGCUGGCGGCAUGCCUAACACAUGCAAGUCGAGCGCCGUAGCAAUACGGAGCGGCGCACGGGUGAGUAACGCGUGGGAACCUGCCCAGAGGUUCGGGACAACCGCGGGAAACUGCGGCUGAUACCGGAUGAUAUCUGAGGGUCAAAGAUUUAUCGCCUUUGGAGGGGCCCGCGUCAGAUUAGGUAGUUGGUGGGGUAACGGCCUACCAAGCCUGUGAUCUGUAGCUGGUCUGAGAGGAUGACCAGCCACACUGGGACUGAGACACGGCCCAGACUCCUACGGGAGGCAGCAGUGGGGAGUAUUGGACAAUGGGGGCAACCCUGAUCCAGCAAUGCCGCGUGGGUGAUGAAGGCCUUCGGGUUGUAAAGCCCUUUCGGCGGGGACGAUGAUGACGGUACUCGCAGAAGAAGCCCCGGCUAACUUCGUGCCAGCCGCCGCGGUAA